Long non-coding RNA from Syzygium oleosum, 435 nucleotides. RefSeq lists it as uncharacterized. The record is from RefSeq and is a predicted model, not a curated record. The transcript has 2 exons. NCBI's taxonomy places the organism in Eukaryota, Viridiplantae, Streptophyta, Magnoliopsida, Myrtales, Myrtaceae.
CAACAUAACUUCGCAAGAAAGGUUGAGAAGAGUGCAUCAGACGAAGCACGGGCAGGACUCCAACUCAAAGCAAGUGCAGUAUAAAUUCAUCUCCUCACACAGGUUGAAAAUCAAAGUUAUCCCCCGGGAUUCAGAGUUAAAGCCCCUGGAGGACUCGUCAAUCAUUACUUGAAGCUGAAAGAAUGAGCUACAUAGAUAUUGUCCUUGGCCUUUUGGAGGUGUACAAGAUGAGAAGGCUGAUAAUUCGGACAUUCCUAGUAGAUUCAGCGACCUCAUCUGAAGGCAGGUUAAGAAGGCGAUCCACAUCUCUUAUAAAAUCAACCCAAUCCAAGUGACCGAAGACACUUGUGAAGCCGUAUUAAACUUAAGUUCCUACGUGCUUAUUGUGGAUUCAGAAGAAGCUUUGCGUAUCUGAAGUAAAAUCUUCUUUCUCAC